Molecule: small nucleolar RNA, 129 nt
Filed under: Carlito syrichta (Philippine tarsier)
Lineage: Eukaryota; Metazoa; Chordata; Mammalia; Primates; Tarsiidae
Description: Small nucleolar RNA SNORA33 (ENSTSYG00000032463.1)
Rfam family: Small nucleolar RNA SNORA33
About the family: ACA33 is a member of the H/ACA class of snoRNA that guide the sites of modification of uridines to pseudouridines.
Source: Rfam by way of RNAcentral
AAGCCGCCAAUGAAUCUACUUACCUGAAUGUGUUUCUGCAGAAACUCUUAAAAAGCUGGCAAUAAUAAAGCAAUGCUAAAAGCCUUAAGGGCUUUGAAGUCGUUAAGGUCCCUGAAAAUGGCUAUAAUA